GACGAACGCUGGCGGCGUGCUUAACACAUGCAAGUCGAACGGAAAGGCCCUGCUUUUGUUGGGUGCUCGAUUGCCGAACGGGUGAGUAACACGUGAGUAACCUGCCCUUGACUUUGGGAUAACUUCACGAAACUGGGGCGCAUACCGGAUAGGAUCUCCUGCAGCGUGUGGUGGGUUGGAGAGUUUCGGCGGUUGUGGAUGGAUUCGCGGCUUAUGAGCUUGUUGGUGUGGUAGUUGCUGCCCAAGGCUUUGACGGGUAGCCUGCCUGAGAGGGGGAACGGGCACAUUGGGACUAAGAGAGGCACCAGACUCCUACGGGAGGCAGCAGUGGGGAAUAUUGCACAAUGGGCGGAAGCGUGAUGCAGCAACGCCGCGUGCGGGAUGACGGCCUUCGGGUUGUAAACAGCUUUCGCAUGUGACGAAGCGUGAGUGACGGUAAUGGGUAAAGAAGCACCGGCUAACUACGUG
This 468-nucleotide ribosomal RNA is filed under the name uncultured bacterium. RNAcentral's name for it is "partial 16S ribosomal RNA". It matches the Rfam family "Bacterial small subunit ribosomal RNA", at positions 28 to 507 of the family's 1533-position model. The record is from RNAcentral.